UACAGAGGUCUCAAGCGUUGUUCGGAUUCAUUGGGCGUAAAGGGUGCGUAGGCGGCGCUGUAAGUCGGGUGUGAAAUUUCGGAGCUUAACUCCGAAACUGCAUUCGAUACUGCGGUGCUUGAGGACUGGAGAGGAGACUGGAAUUCAUGGUGUAGCAGUGAAAUGCGUAGAUAUCAUGAGGAACACCAAUGGCGAAGGCAGCUCUCUGGACAGUUCCUGACACUGAGACACGAAA
This 235-nucleotide ribosomal RNA is filed under the name uncultured bacterium. RNAcentral describes it as "partial 16S ribosomal RNA". It matches the Rfam family "Bacterial small subunit ribosomal RNA", at positions 524 to 758 of the family's 1533-position model. The record is from RNAcentral.